AACCUCCGCAAUGUGAGAAAUCGCGACGGGGGGAUCCCAAGUGCCAUUCUUAACGGGAUGGCUUUUCAUUAGUGUAAAGAGCUUUUGGAAUAAGGGCUGGGCAAGACCGGUGCCAGUCGCCGCGGUAACACCGGCAGCUCUAGUGGUAGCAGUUUUUAUUGGGCCUAAAGCGUCCGUGGCCGGUUUAAUAAGUCUCUGGUGAAAUCCUGUAGCUUAACUGUGGGAAUUGCUGGAGAUACUAUUAGACUUGAGACCGGGAGAGGUUAGAGGUACUCCCAGGGUAGAGGUGAAAUUCUGUAAUCCUGGGAGGACCGCCUGUUGCGAAGGCGUCUAACUGGAACGGUUCUGACGGUGAGGGACGAAAGUUAGGGGCGCGAACCGGAUUAGAUACCCGGGUAGUCCUAACUGUAAACGAUGCGGACUUGGUGUUGGGGUGGCUUUGAGCUGCUCCAGUGCCGAAGGGAAGCUGUUAAGUCCGCCGCCUGGGAAGUACGGUCGCAAGACUGAAACUUAAAGGAAUU
Molecule: ribosomal RNA, 521 nt
Filed under: uncultured bacterium
Lineage: Bacteria
Description: bacterial SSU rRNA
Rfam family: Archaeal small subunit ribosomal RNA
Source: RNAcentral